AGUGAACGCUGGCGGCAGGCCUAACACAUGCAAGUCGAACGGCAGCACAGUAAGAGCUUGCUCUUACGGGUGGCGACUGGCGGACGGGUGAGGAAUACAUCGGAAUCUACUUUUUCUUGGGUGAUAACGUAGGGACACUUACGCUAAUACCGCAUACGACCUACGGGUGAAAUCAGGGGAUCUUCGGACCUUGCGCGAUCCAAUGAGCCGAUGUCGGAUUAGCUAGUUGGCGGGGUAAAGGCCCACCAAGGCGACGAUCCGAAGCUGGUCUGAGAGGAUGAUCAGCCACACUGGAACUGAGACACGGUCCAGACUCCUACGGGAGGCAGCAGUGGGGAAUAUUGGACAAUGGGCGAAAGCCUGAUCCAGCCAUGCCGCGUGGGUGAAGAAGGCCUUCGGAUUGUAAAGCACUUUUAUUGGGGAAGAAAAGCAGCAGGUUAAUACCCCGCUGUUCUGACGGUACCAAAAGAAUAAGCACCGGCUAACUUCGUG
This 492-nucleotide ribosomal RNA is filed under the name uncultured bacterium. RNAcentral describes it as "partial 16S ribosomal RNA". It matches the Rfam family "Bacterial small subunit ribosomal RNA", at positions 29 to 507 of the family's 1533-position model. The record is from RNAcentral.